Molecule: transfer RNA, 73 nt
Filed under: Compsopogon caeruleus
Lineage: Eukaryota; Rhodophyta; Compsopogonophyceae; Compsopogonales; Compsopogonaceae
Description: tRNA-Trp
Rfam family: tRNA
About the family: Transfer RNA (tRNA) molecules are approximately 80 nucleotides in length.
Source: RNAcentral
GGGAAAAUAGCUAAAAGAUUAUAGCGUCGAUUUCCAAAAUCGAAGAUUGGGGGUUUGAGUCCUUCUUUUCCUG